RNAcentral lists this ribosomal RNA (379 nucleotides) under Eurycantha coronata. RNAcentral's name for it is "partial 12S ribosomal RNA". The record is from RNAcentral. Lineage: Eukaryota; Metazoa; Arthropoda; Insecta; Phasmatodea; Phasmatidae.
AAACUAGGAUUAGAUACCCUAUUAUUUUAAAUGUAAAAUUUUACCUAGGUAAUAAUAGUUUUGUUCUUUAAACCUAAAGAAUUUGGCGGUGUUUUAGUCUAUUCAGAGGAAUUUGUCCCAUUAUCGAUAGUCCCCGUUUUAUCUUACUUAUUUUUAAAGUAUGUAUAUCGCCGUUAUAAGUUUAUUUUUUAAGAAUAUUUACUUUUAAUUUUAUUAAUUUUUAUUUCAGGUCAAGGUGCAGCUGAUAAAUAAGAGGAGAUGAAUUACAAUAUUAUUUAAAUAUAUGAAUAUAAAUUUUAUAAUUUUAUUGAAAGUGGAUUUGUUAGUAAUUUUUACUAUAAUUUAAUUAUGAUUUUAGCUCUAAAAUGAGUACACAUCG